UGAGUACGAGAUGCUACGGCAUUGAAGCAGUCUAUGUCAUACUUCCAAGAAAAGCUUGCACUGUCAUAAACAAAGAAUGCCUGUACCAUAACCGACACAGGUGGGUAGGUAGAGUAUACUAAGGGGCGCGAGAUAACUCUCUCUAAGGAACUCGGCAAAAUGACUCCGUAACUUCGGGAGAAGGAGUGCCUUAUUUUUAAGGUUGCAAUAACAAGAUCCAAGCAACUGUUUAUCAAAAACACAGGUCUCCGCUAAGUCGUAAGACGAUGUAUGGGGGCUGACGCCUGCCCAGUGCCAGAAGGUUAAAGAAGUUGGUUAGCAUUCGCGAAGCUGAUAACUGAAGCCCUGGUGAACGGCGGCCGUAACUAUAACGGUCCUAAGGUAGCGAAAUUCCUUGUCGGGUAAGUUCCGACCCGCACGAAAGGCGUAAUGAUUUGGAUACUGUCUCGGAGAGGGACUCGGUGAAAUAGACUUGUCUGUGAAGAUGCGGACUACCUGCACCUGGACAGAAAGACCCUAUGAAGCUUUACUGUAACUUGAAAUUGAAAUUGGACUUUAGUUGCGCAGGAUAGGUGGGAGGCGUUGAGAAUAUUCUUGCGGGAGUAUUGGAGCCAUCAGUGAGAUACCACUCUUCUAAUGUUAGAUUUCUAACUUUGUAUCAUUAUCUGGUCAGAGAACAGUUUCAGGCGGGCAGUUUGACUGGGGCGGUCGCCUCCUAAAGGGUAACGGAGGCGCACAAAGGUUUCCUCUGAACGAGUAGAAAUCGUAUCUAGAGUGUAAAGGCAUAAGGAAGCUUGACUGUGAGACCUACAAGUCGAGCAGGGACGAAAGUCGGUCUUAGUGAUCUGACGGUGCUGAGUGGAAAGGCCGUCACUCAACGGAUAAAAGUUACUCUAGUAUAACAGGCUGAUCUCCCCCAAGAGUUCACAUCGACGGGGAGGUUUGGCACCUCGAUGUCGGCUCAUCGCAUCCUGGGGCGGUAGUACGUCCCAAGGGUUGGGCUGUUCGCCCAUGAAAGCGGUACGCGAGCUGGGUUCAGAACGUCGUGAGACAGUUCGGUCCAUAUCCGGUGUAGGCGUUAGAAUAUUGAGAGGAGCCUUCUCUAGUACGAGAGGACCGAGAAGGACAUACCUCUAGUGUACCAGUUAUCGUGCCAACGGUAAACGCUGGGUAGCUAUGUAUGGAGUGGAUAACCGCUGAAAGCAUCUAAGUGGGAAGCCCACCUCAAGAUAAG
This 1234-nucleotide ribosomal RNA is filed under the name metagenome. RNAcentral describes it as "bacterial LSU rRNA". It matches the Rfam family "Bacterial large subunit ribosomal RNA", at positions 1564 to 2808 of the family's 2925-position model. The record is from RNAcentral.